UAUAGUGUGGCCGAGUGGUCUAUGGCGUUGGUUUUAGGCACCAGUCUCUUCGGAGGCAAGGGUUCGUAUCCCUUCACUGUCA
This is a non-coding RNA of Daphnia pulex (common water flea), 82 nucleotides long. Lineage: Eukaryota; Metazoa; Arthropoda; Branchiopoda; Diplostraca; Daphniidae. The record is from Rfam.